UUAGCCCUGACUUUGUCAGAGCUUUGUUACUGAGGAUGUAUAUGCAGGACAUAUUGUUAAUUAGGAAUUCUUCGUUUAUGAUUUCAUA
This 88-nucleotide small nucleolar RNA is filed under the name Henningerozyma blattae CBS 6284. Its description in RNAcentral is "Tetrapisispora blattae CBS 6284 Small nucleolar RNA snR57". It matches the Rfam family "Small nucleolar RNA snR57". From Rfam's summary of the family: snR57 is a member of the C/D class of snoRNA which contain the C (UGAUGA) and D (CUGA) box motifs. Most of the members of the box C/D family function in directing site-specific 2'-O-methylation of substrate RNAs. Lineage: Eukaryota; Fungi; Ascomycota; Saccharomycetes; Saccharomycetales; Saccharomycetaceae. The record is from Rfam by way of RNAcentral.